GUGUGCUCGGUGUGCGGCAAGAUGGGUUUCCGACGAACGUACGAUCUCCAACGACAUAUGCUCUCUCAUGCAGCAGUGCGACCCUUCCAGUGCCCUCAUUGUCCUUACAGAGCAGCCCUCAAGUACAACCUUGAUGCUCACAUUCGACUCAAACAUCCAGAAGAAGCCCAGUCUGUACAAAGGAAUAGAGAUCCAGGAUUUACCAGUGGAAAUUUGACAGGAUCUGUAGCUCAAGGAGCAUUACAACAACAAUCCUGUGAAACGUCUGAUAAUGGAAACAGCUUUAUUCAAGUUGAAUGAGCUGAUGGAAAAUCUCAAUUUUAUGAAGAAUAUAUACCAUGUUUACAAGGAACGGAGUUGGGCAAGCGAGCUGCCAUGACAAGUAUCGGAGGAGGAGGUGGCAGCGCACUCAGGACAUCUUUCGUCUGUGCUGUUUGUGAAAAGAUCUUCAAUCACAAGGGCAACUUCAUGAAGCACUAUAGAACACAUACUGGAGAGAAGCCAUUCCAGUGCCCUAAAUGCCCCUAUAAAGCUACACAAAAAGCUCAUUUAACUACCCACAUGUUGGGAAGACAUGGAGAACUCCUUCAUGGCUAGUUUGCAAGUACAAGGGUUGGUCACCACACUAAUCACAAAGCCAGAUGUAAAGAAAUCUGGCGAAGAUACUCCUGCCUGUCAGUGGCAGUAUGCAAGUCAGUAUUAUAUGUAACUUAUUUCACCAUUUGUAUCAGUGUUCUUUUUUUAUUGUUUUACUGGAUACGCACUGCUUAUCAGUGUUUGAUAGUUAUAUGUAAAUUUUGGUCAUUAUGAUUUCUGAAUAAAGCUGUUAAGAAA
Long non-coding RNA from Penaeus monodon (black tiger shrimp), 834 nucleotides. RefSeq lists it as uncharacterized. Lineage: Eukaryota; Metazoa; Arthropoda; Malacostraca; Decapoda; Penaeidae. The transcript is spliced from 2 exons. The record is from RefSeq and is a predicted model, not a curated record.